This 59-nucleotide microRNA precursor is filed under the name Monodelphis domestica (gray short-tailed opossum). Its description in RNAcentral is "microRNA mdo-mir-7357 precursor". Lineage: Eukaryota; Metazoa; Chordata; Mammalia; Didelphimorphia; Didelphidae. The record is from miRBase by way of RNAcentral.
GAUGGAGUGUGCCAGGCUGAGCUGCCACUCGGGGUGCCCAGGCUGGCCCACUCUGUUCC